This is a long non-coding RNA of Syzygium oleosum, 2607 nucleotides long. RefSeq lists it as uncharacterized. The transcript has 3 exons. The record is from RefSeq and is a predicted model, not a curated record. NCBI's taxonomy places the organism in Eukaryota, Viridiplantae, Streptophyta, Magnoliopsida, Myrtales, Myrtaceae.
UCUAUUUUAUACGAGUGGUUAAUUGUUAUUCACCUUCUGUAGUCAAUCACAUUGUCCUGCAAUAAACUUUUUGGGUCCGUUUUCUUCGAAUUGUGCCGUAUUCAUUCUACUUAUGUCAAGAUUGUGAUUGCAGAACACUUGAUUAUAGGUAUGUAAAGUUUCAAUCACAAGAUAAUCGGGUUAUAUUUUCCCAUGGGUGGUUUCUGGUAUAACAGGCAAUCUCAGCCUGUAGGACCGUAGUCGUUCAUGUUGACACGAAAUGGUUAGAGGCAACUACACGUGCAAAAAGACCGGUUUAGCGACUUGGUAUACCAAAUAAUGUGGCAAUCUUUGCAUAGAUAUUUAAAGAAGCAGUGCAUGUGGCAUUCUUCGCAAGAAUACUUAGCGUCUCUAUGAAUGGUAAAGUACAAGUUAGCUACAUCCAUUUAAUCUUUGCUGCUCGGUAUUACGAGUUUAAAGUGUCAUAGCCAUGUUCUUCUAGGCAAUACAUCUUUAUUAAUUUUAUCCUCAAGUGAAGGCUGCAACCUCCUAAUCUCAAGUCUCAAUUCAGCCUGCUGCUAAAGUGUUUGUACCUCAGGCUUCAGUUUCCAUCAGUCUUCUGCCAAAACAUUUGUACCUCAGGCUUCGGUCUCAUCUUUCUGACACAUUAAGAUCUGCAGUGCUGAGGCUAAGCCUUCAUGAUAGCUUUUUGAUGUGGAUGUGACUUUAUACUUUCAUCUGCACAUUAUUUUUCCUUUGUUUGAAUGUGAUAUGCCUGUGUAUAAGUUAUCGAGACUCUAGGUUAAGAGUGUGACAUGAUUCAGAUCUCAUGUUGCUACGUAGUUCUCACAGGACGUCUUGAUCUUGAUGCAACUAUUGCUGGAAUAUCUCCCACCAUGGUGGAUGUUCCAUUUAGAGAACAAGUCCAUACUUGUAUCUUGCCCUGUGAGAUACGUGUUUAAGGGCUGUUAUCUCAUAUCAUUAUUCAUUGAAGCAUGCACAAAAUUUGUUUCUGAAUAUAUCCCUAACCUUCAAAAUCUUGGUCUACAGUUGGUAGUAGAUAUGUGGAUGCUAUUGAUUUGUAUGUUGUAUUUGACAUGAUUUGGUGGGUUGCACCCUCUUGGGUACCGUAGUGGAGAAUGUCCCUAAAUUGAUGAUCAUCCUGCCAGGGGGAAAACUGCAAAGAAAAGAGAAAUUGAAGAAUCUCUUUAUCUUUGAUUGAGUGGCAAUGACAUAUCCAAAAUGGUGAACUAUCAAGCAUCAUGCCUGUUAAAGAUUUUUUUUUUUGGGAUGUUAGAUUCUUCUCCUAGAUGAUAGAGUAGAUAUCGCCUUCUUGAUGUAAAGACCUUGAAAGUUUGGAUAGUGGGGCCAUUGUGGAGCUUGUAGCUCCUAUAUCUAGUUUAUAUUUGCUAAUGACAUCUUAUUGCUUUUAAGAGUGAAGCAUCAAAUAGGUAUAAUUUAAAGAAGAGUUCUAUGUGGGAUAUGUUUGGCAGAGUAAAGAUACAGGUAUACUGUGAAGAACAUCACAAAUACUAUAGACUGAGGGUGUACACAAUAGAUGGAUGCAUCUUUUACUCAGAUGAUCUUUCUAAUUUUUAUUUCCUUUUGCCAUUAUAUGUGAGGAAUUCCUCUUCAAUUUUGUUUGUUGUCUGGGUUGACUUCACUUUCAUUAUUUUAGUUAAUGCAAUCUCACUCUUUGUUUUCUGCAUUAACUUUAUCGAUUGGUCUUAGAGCUUCACCUGCUGAUUGCAUGCACUGAGUUCAGUGAAUGUAUUUUUCCUUUGUUACCUAUUUUGUAAGUCUGUUGUUCAUUUGCAGUUCCUCAAAACAAUGUCCUGAAUGCUCUCACAGUUCUGUACGGCACUUUUGUUGGUGGAACGAUAUAUAGCGAAUCCUAUACAAGCACAUGGAAAUGCCGUUGGCAGAAGGCGAGCAAUGAUAUUACUAAAACACAAUUUUGAAAAAAAUUUUGCUGAGACGCACAAUAAAGGGAAGAGCUGCUGAUCUUGCACUUCCACCUAGAAUUGCGAGUUCUCUUGCAUAUGUGUACAAUUGCAAUUCGGCAUGUCGAAGAUUUUUAACUUAAAUCCACCGCUUCCUGCUCUCUUUUCUUUCCCUGCAGGUUACUUUGAGGCGGGAUACACUGGACAUUAGAGAAGAGGAUUAUUACACAUCAUUGUACAAUGAGAGCCAAUCUAACCUUGUGCGGUGUGCAUAUUGAUUGGUAUUUCACUUUCUUCUUUGGGCUUGUGGGACUUUGAGUAUCGCAUUGUAUGUCAACAAGUGAAUGUCACUUCUUUGGAGGAGGUGAUGAAACACUUCAUGCAAACCUUAUUGAAGAAAGCAUAGUGGGGCGCAAGAUUGAAAGUAUCUUUUCAUACAUAUCGGGGAUAAGCUUUGCUUCAGCAUCUUCAGUGCCAGAAGUGCAGUUGGCCCAAUAUGUUCCUGCCUUGGAAAGAAUUGCCAUCCUGAGGUUGCUUAAGCAAGUGCUUUAAAGUGCUCAAGAUUAUUUAUUCUCUCAUUAUGUGUACUAUAAAGAAAAAUAUAUAUGUCAUUCUUGUGGAAAAUGCAGAUGAAUGUAUUUCAUUUUCAUAUUAUUAUAAUAUUUUGAUGUUAUUAAGUGCUUAA